AGAUUGAACGCUAGCGGGAUGCCUUACACAUGCAAGUCGAACGGCAGCGCGGACUUCGGUCUGGCGGCGAGUGGCGAACGGGUGAGUAAUAUAUCGGAACGUGCCCAGUAGCGGGGGAUAACUACGCGAAAGCGUGGCUAAUACCGCAUACGCCCGUACGGGGGAAAGGGGGGAUCGCAAGACCUCUCACUAUUGGAGCGGCCGAUA
This 207-nucleotide ribosomal RNA is filed under the name uncultured soil bacterium. RNAcentral's name for it is "partial 16S ribosomal RNA". It matches the Rfam family "Bacterial small subunit ribosomal RNA", at positions 26 to 235 of the family's 1533-position model. The record is from RNAcentral.